UACAGAGGUCCCAAGCGUUGUUCGGAUUCACUGGGCGUAAAGGGUGCGUAGGCGGUCGGGUAAGUCUGAUGUGAAAUCUCAGAGCUCAACUCUGAAACUGCAUUGGAUACUAUUCGGCUUGAGGUCUGGAGGGGGGACUGGAAUUCCUGGUGUAGCGGUGAAAUGCGCAGAUAUCAGGAGGAACACCGAUGGCGAAGGCAGGUCUCUGGGCAUUAACUGACGCUGAGGAGCGAAAGCAUGGGGAGCGAACAGG
Molecule: ribosomal RNA, 253 nt
Filed under: uncultured bacterium
Lineage: Bacteria
Description: partial 16S ribosomal RNA
Rfam family: Bacterial small subunit ribosomal RNA
Source: RNAcentral